CUGAUUAUUCGCACCAUUCCUCGAAUGGUGGGUUAGCGUACGACUGGCAAAAACGACAACGACCCGCCCCACGAGGCGGGUUUU
RNAcentral lists this small RNA (84 nucleotides) under Paraburkholderia tropica. RNAcentral's name for it is "Burkholderia tropica Pseudomonas sRNA P9". It matches the Rfam family "Pseudomonas sRNA P9". Rfam says of the family: P9 appears to be conserved in several Pseudomonas species in addition to Bordetella spp. In both Pseudomonas and Bordetella spp P9 appears to be located upstream of a predicted threonine dehydratase gene. Lineage: Bacteria; Pseudomonadati; Pseudomonadota; Betaproteobacteria; Burkholderiales; Burkholderiaceae. The record is from Rfam by way of RNAcentral.